AGAGUUUGAUCCUGGCUCAGAUUGAACGCUGGCGGAACGCUUUACACAUGCAAGUCGAACGGUAACGUGGGGAGGAGCUUGCUCCACCCCGACGACGAGUGGCGAACGGGUGAGUAAUACAUCGGAACGUGUCCGCUCGUGGGGGACAACCAGCCGAAAGGUUGGCUAAUACCGCAUGAGUUCUACGGAAGAAAGAGGGGGACCCGCAAGGGCCUCUCGCGAGCGGAGCGGCCGAUGACUGAUUAGCCGGUUGGUGAGGUAACGGCUCACCAAAGCAACGAUCAGUAGCUGGUCUGAGAGGACGACCAGCCACACUGGGACUGAGACACGGCCCAGACUCCUACGGGAGGCAGCAGUGGGGAAUUUUGGACAAUGGGCGCAAGCCUGAUCCAGCUAUUCCGCGUGUGGGAUGAAGGCCCUCGGGUUGUAAACCACUUUUGUAGAGAACGAAAAGACACCUUCGAAUAAAGGGUGUUGCUGACGGUACUCUAAGAAUAAGCACCGGCUAACUACGUGCCAGCAGCCGCGGUAAUACGUAGGGUGCGAGCGUUAAUCGGAAUUACUGGGCGUAAAGGGUGCGCAGGCGGUUGAGUAAGACAGAUGUGAAAUCCCCGAGCUUAACUCGGGAAUGGCAUAUGUGACUGCUCGACUAGAGUGUGUCAGAGGGAGGUGGAAUUCCACGUGUAGCAGUGAAAUGCGUAGAUAUGUGGAAGAACACCGAUGGCGAAGGCAGCCUCCUGGGACAUAACUGACGCUCAGGCACGAAAGCGUGGGGAGCAAACAGGAUUAGAUACCCUGGUAGUCCACGCCCUAAACGAUGUUAACUAGUUGUUGGGAAGUAAAAUUCUCAGUAACGCAGCCAACGCGAGAAGUUAACCGCCUGGGAAGUACGGUCGCAAGACUAAAACUCAAAGGAAUUGACGGGGACCCGCACAAGCGGUGGAUGAUGUGGAUUAAUUCGAUGCAACGCGAAAAACCUUACCUACCCUUGACAU
RNAcentral lists this ribosomal RNA (995 nucleotides) under human gut metagenome. Its description in RNAcentral is "bacterial SSU rRNA". It matches the Rfam family "Bacterial small subunit ribosomal RNA", at positions 8 to 987 of the family's 1533-position model. The record is from RNAcentral.